RNAcentral lists this ribosomal RNA (484 nucleotides) under uncultured bacterium. Its description in RNAcentral is "partial 16S ribosomal RNA". It matches the Rfam family "Bacterial small subunit ribosomal RNA", at positions 30 to 507 of the family's 1533-position model. The record is from RNAcentral.
AUUGAACGCUGGCGGCAGGCCUAACACAUGCAAGUCGAGCGGAUGAAGGGAGCUUGCUCCUGGAUUCAGCGGCGGACGGGUGAGUAAUGCCUAGGAAUCUGCCUGGUAGUGGGGGAUAACGUCCGGAAACGGGCGCUAAUACCGCAUACGUCCUGAGGGAGAAAGUGGGGGAUCUUCGGACCUCACGCUAUCAGAUGAGCCUAGGUCGGAUUAGCUAGUUGGUGGGGUAAAGGCCUACCAAGGCGACGAUCCGUAACUGGUCUGAGAGGAUGAUCAGUCACACUGGAACUGAGACACGGUCCAGACUCCUACGGGAGGCAGCAGUGGGGAAUGUUGGUCAGUGGGCGAAAGCCUGAUCCAGCCAUGCCGCGUGUGUGAAGAAGGUCUUCGGAUUGUAAAGCACUUUAAGUUGGGAGGAAGGGCAGUAAGUUAAUACCUUGCUGUUUUGACGGUACCAACAGAAUAAGCACCGGCUAACUUCGUG